GCCCAGCGAAGUGGCCGCGGUAGCUCCUGGCGAAGGCGAUGGCGGAGGCGGCGGCUUUGGCUCCUGGCUGGACGGACGGUUGGAGGCACUGGGAGUGGACCGAGCCGUUUAUGGAGCCUACAUCUUGGGUGUCCUGCAGGAGGAGGAGGAAGAAGAGAAGCUGGAUGCCCUGCAGGGGAUCCUCUCUGCUUUCCUGGAAGAAGAUUCCCUCCUUAAUAUCUGCAAGGAGAUUGUGGAACGAUGGUCAGAAACUCAGAAUGUUGUCACCAAAGUGAAAAAAGAAGAUGAAGUACAGGCCAUUGCCACCCUAAUUGAGAAGCAGGCCCAAAUUGUAGUAAAGCCAAGGAUGGUGUCAGAAGAGGAGAAGCAGAGAAAAGCUGCCCUCCUGGCCCAGUAUGCUGAUGUGACAGAUGAAGAGGAAUAUCCUUUCUGGAGUCUUGGCACCAUUCCCUAAAGCUCAAGCCGGACAUAUUUGUGGGUUUACAGUGACGUUUGGCAAGUUGCUAAUCCCCCUCUAUAGCUUAAUUUUCCCCUCUAAAAUGGCAGUAAUCUAUGGCCCUUUGUGGAUAUGCGGAGUGAUAUUGGAUUAGUUGAUACUGGACUUAUAUUUUUCAACACAUAAUCAGUAUAUUCCUGAAAACUUUGGUGUAAAACAAAUAAUGUCUUAAUAGUCCAUUUAUAUUAUGCUUUCA
This 692-nucleotide small RNA is filed under the name Pongo abelii (Sumatran orangutan). RNAcentral's name for it is "retained intron". Lineage: Eukaryota; Metazoa; Chordata; Mammalia; Primates; Hominidae. The record is from RNAcentral.